UGUUAUAAAAAAGAAAUUGUUUUUACUGAAUUAUAAACAUGCAGUUUCAAUAAUGUUUUUGAGUAACUGGAAAACAAUGUUUUUGCUUCCGCCUUCAGUUUCCUUGGAUGCGGUUGCCUUCAAGUCAUACUUUAAGAAAGAAAACCACAAUAGCUGUACAUGAUCUUCGAGGAACAAGUAUUAUUUGAUGUUUGAAACAAAAUGGAUUUUAAGAUCGUAUAUUAUAUAUUUUUUCUUUUAGUUGGAUCAUGUAUCUGUCAAGCUUAUUACACUACUACCACUGCAGCUCCCCAAACGUUAAGCAGUGGAGUCAUAGCAGGAAUUGUGAUCGGCGUAAUGAUGACCAUCGGCGGUUGUUGUGUCUGUUUUUGUUGUUGUUGUCUUGGGGCUUCACAAGUAUCGUCUGGUUAACGCAAUGAAAGAAUUGGUGAAAACAGCCUUCUUUAUAAAACUUUGUUAAUGAGAAAAAUGAUUGAUAUUUGAAUUUAACAGAGUCUGGUUAUGUCUACUUUAACUUGAGGAGGCCGAAUGGUUA
Molecule: long non-coding RNA, 535 nt
Organism: Magallana angulata
Lineage: Eukaryota; Metazoa; Mollusca; Bivalvia; Ostreida; Ostreidae
Exons: 3
Source: RefSeq, a predicted model, not a curated record